This 71-nucleotide transfer RNA is filed under the name Datnioides campbelli. Its description in RNAcentral is "tRNA-Gln". The record is from RNAcentral. Lineage: Eukaryota; Metazoa; Chordata; Actinopteri; Lobotiformes; Datnioididae.
UAGAAAAUGGUGUAGGGGAAGCACUGAGAGUUUUGAGCUCUCCAGGUUGGGUUCGACUCCCUAGUUUCUAA